GAUGAACGCUGGCGGCGUGCCUAAUACAUGCAAGUCGAGCGAACGGACGAGAAGCUUGCUUCUCUGAUGUUAGCGGCGGACGGGUGAGUAACACGUGGAUAACCUACCUAUAAGACUGGGAUAACUUCGGGAAACCGGAGCUAAUACCGGAUGAUAUUUUGAACCGCAUGGGUCAAAAGUGAAAGACGGUCUUGCUGUCACUUAUAGAUGGAUCCGCGCUGCAUUAGCUAGUUGGUAAGGUAACGGCUUACCAAGGCAACGAUGCAUAGCCGACCUGAGAGGGUGAUCGGCCACACUGGAACUGAGCCACGGUCCAGACUCCUACGGGAGGCAGCAGUAGGGAAUCUUCCGCAAUGGGCGAAAGCCUGACGGAGCAACGCCGCGUGAGUGAUGAAGGUCUUCGGAUCGUAAAACUCUGUUAUUAGGGAAGAACAUAUGUGUAAGUAACUGUGCACAUCUUGACGGUACCUAAUCAGAAAGCCACGGCUAACUACGUG
This 497-nucleotide ribosomal RNA is filed under the name uncultured bacterium. Its description in RNAcentral is "partial 16S ribosomal RNA". It matches the Rfam family "Bacterial small subunit ribosomal RNA", at positions 28 to 507 of the family's 1533-position model. The record is from RNAcentral.